AUCGCUUCUCGGCCUUUUGGCUAAGAUCAAGUGUAGUAUCUGUUCUUAUCAGUUUAAUAAUGCUAUAUCUUUAAAUGCAAUUUGAAAAUAUUUAACUACAGCUUAUGAAGUGGCACAAUUAAAAUACAUUGUUUUUCCCCGUGAUUGAAACCAUGAGGGACUACUUCCUUCGUGACACCUAAU
Small nuclear RNA from Myotis myotis, 183 nucleotides. RefSeq annotates it as U2 spliceosomal RNA. The record is from RefSeq and is a predicted model, not a curated record. The transcript has a single exon. Lineage: Eukaryota; Metazoa; Chordata; Mammalia; Chiroptera; Vespertilionidae.